Molecule: ribosomal RNA, 518 nt
Filed under: uncultured bacterium
Lineage: Bacteria
Description: partial 16S ribosomal RNA
Rfam family: Bacterial small subunit ribosomal RNA
Source: RNAcentral
GACGAACGCUGGCGGCGUGCUUAACACAUGCAAGUCGAACGGAGAAUUUAUUUCGGUAAAUUCUUAGUGGCGAACGGGUGAGUAACGCGUGGGCAACCUGCCCUUCAGAUGGGGACAACAUCCCGAAAGGGGUGCUAAUACCGAAUACGAUCACGCUGCCGCAUGGCGGUGUGAUGAAAGAUGGCCUCUAUUUAUAAGCUAUCGCUGAAGGAUGGGCCUGCGUCUGAUUAGCUAGUUGGUGGGGUAACGGCCUACCAAGGCGAUGAUCAGUAGCCGGUCUGAGAGGAUGAACGGCCACAUUGGGACUGAGACACGGCCCAAACUCCUACGGGAGGCAGCAGUGGGGAAUAUUCCGCAAUGGACGAAAGUCUGACGGAGCAACGCCGCGUGAGUGAUGAAGGUUUUCGGACUGUAAAACUCUGUUGUUUAGGACGAAAGUGCCUGUUGCAAAUAGUUGCAGGUAUUGACGGUACUGAACGAGGAAGCCACGGCUAACUACGUGCCAGCCGCCGCCGUAA